This 467-nucleotide ribosomal RNA is filed under the name uncultured bacterium. RNAcentral describes it as "bacterial SSU rRNA". It matches the Rfam family "Bacterial small subunit ribosomal RNA", at positions 100 to 565 of the family's 1533-position model. The record is from RNAcentral.
GCACGGGUGAGUAACACGUAUGCAACCAACCCAUAACAGGGGGAUAACCCGGAGAAAUCCGGACUAAUACCGCAUAAGACCACGAUAUCGCAUGAUAUAGAGGUCAAAUAUUUAUAGGUUGUGGACGGGCAUGCGUCUGAUUAGCUGGUUGGCGGGGUAACAGCCCACCAAGGCAUCGAUCAGUAGGGGUUCUGAGAGGAAGGUCCCCCACAUUGGAACUGAGACACGGUCCAAACUCCUACGGGAGGCAGCAGUGAGGAAUAUUGGUCAAUGGGCGAAAGCCUGAACCAGCCAUGUCGCGUGAAGGAUGAAGGUCCUAUGGAUUGUAAACUUCUUUUGCAGGAGGGUAAAGUGAGCUACGUGUAGUUCAUUGCAAGUACCCUGCGAAUAAGCAUCGGCUAACUCCGUGCCAGCAGCCGCGGUAAUACGGAGGAUGCGAGCGUUAUCCGGAUUUAUUGGGUUUAAAG